This 399-nucleotide ribosomal RNA is filed under the name uncultured bacterium. Its description in RNAcentral is "partial 16S ribosomal RNA". It matches the Rfam family "Bacterial small subunit ribosomal RNA", at positions 338 to 734 of the family's 1533-position model. The record is from RNAcentral.
CCUACGGGUGGCUGCAGUGAGGAAUAUUGGUCAAUGGGCGUAAGUCUGAACCAGCCAAGUCGCGUGAGGGAUGAAUGUUCUAUGGAUCGUAAACCUCUUUUAUAAGGGAAUAAAGUGUGGGACGUGUCCUGUUUUGUAUGUACCUUAUGAAUAAGGAUCGGCUAACUCCGUGCCAGCAGCCGCGGUAAUACGGAGGAUCCGAGCGUUAUCCGGAUUUAUUGGGUUUAAAGGGUGCGUAGGCGGCCUUUUAAGUCAGCUGUGAAAGUUUGUGGCUCAACCAUAAAAUUGCAGUUGAAACUGGGAGUCUUGAGUAGAGUUGAGGCAGGCGGAAUGCGUGGUGUAGCGGUGAAAUGCUUAGAUAUCACGCAGAACCCCGAUUGCGAAGGCAGCUUACUAAGC